GGGGAUGGGCUUAAGCCCAUAAGGGAGUCACCUAGGGAGGUAACCCAACUUCUGUGAUUGGCGAUCCCAUGAAGGAAGUUCAAUGGGUAGAAACAAUCCAUACUGCGUGACUCAUUGAGCACUGUUUAUAUCAUGUGGAGGCAUCCCAGAGAUGUCCUCAUGCUCAUCCCUAUGACAUCAGUGCUAUAUAAUGUGACGUUAGGAAGGGAGUUAUCCAUGAAUGAGUUUCGAGGCGGGCAAUCUCCCGCAGGGUGCAGGUCACAUGUACUCUUGGAGAACUCACCUAAGUGAGAGACGUCG
RNAcentral lists this long non-coding RNA (300 nucleotides) under Prunus persica (peach). RNAcentral describes it as "long non-coding RNA (PPER_LNC000762)". Lineage: Eukaryota; Viridiplantae; Streptophyta; Magnoliopsida; Rosales; Rosaceae. The record is from RNAcentral.